AUGUACAAGUUGUACAAGAGCGAGCUGGACGCCAUCACGCCUGAGCAGGUGGAAUGGGAGCCGUAUGGAAAAGGAGAGAGUUUUGGUAACCCUAUAGAGUUGGAUAGGAAAAAGCAGCGGAAGAUUAAGGAUUGGGCCAGCCAUCACAGGAAGUAUGUCGUGCAGUUCGCUCUUAGUGUGGAGCAAGCAAGGGCUGGAAAACGAGCCCAGCUUCGUGAGCACUGCCCGGAUGCGUUCAACAACUAUCUCACAUGGUUUCUUGCAAGUACCCGCGUGGAGGUAUGCCAGCCCGCGUAUGCUGAGGAGAUUCUGGAGGAACCCACCGUUUUUGAUGAGAUCAAGAAAGCAGCUGACGAGACCGAGACUAUUCUGGAAACAACCCCGGCUGGCAAAAGCGAUGGGGAAGGUGCACUUCGAGAAUUCAUUAAGCGCCAGGGCCAAAAGUUAAGGCGGCUAUCAAACCUUUUCGGUUGUCGUGACCCCGAGUAUGUAUCACCUGCACGGUCUAGGUCGGCGACACCAUCAGAUCCCGCUUCGGGGCAGAGCCAUGGUGAACCUUUCACGGAUGAGGAUGUGGGUGGGGUCACCCAAGAGGUUGCUGAUGAUAUGACCUUGGGGACGUACCGGGCUCGGUCUGCAUACGAGUUGAAGCCUAGGAGGGCAAUCAACAAGUACACACCUGAAGACUUCACCCAAAGAGGCAAAAGGACGGUGGGCACCUCGCGGAUGGCGGCUUUGGAUGACUAUUUGGAUGACGAUGUCGAACCGGAGGCGGAGCCGGAGCCGGAGCAUGUUCCUCUUCCUAGGAAGGUGAAGAAGAUAAGCGUCAAGAGGGGGGAGGACCCAGCAAGCGUGGAAAGCACUAGUCAUCUUAGUUUUUUUAUAAUGUUGAACUUCGAGUGCGAUUUGUUAUGUCGUUGA
Molecule: ribosomal RNA, 921 nt
Filed under: Triticum aestivum (bread wheat)
Lineage: Eukaryota; Viridiplantae; Streptophyta; Magnoliopsida; Poales; Poaceae
Description: partial small subunit ribosomal RNA
Source: RNAcentral